CCUACGGGUGACAGCAGUGGGGAAUAUUGCACAAUGGGGGAAACCCUGAUGCAGCGACGCCGCGUGAGUGAAGCAGUAUUUCGGUAUGUAAAGCUCUUUCAGCAGGGAAAAAGAAAGACGCUCCCUGGCCACGUAGCCCCUGCUAACUACGUGCCCGCACCCGCGGGAAUCAGUAGGGGGCACGCGUUAUCCGGACUUACUGGGUGGAAAGGGAGCGGAGACGGCUGUGCAAGUCUGAAGUGAAAGCCCAGGGCUCAACCCUGGAACUGCUUUGGCAACUGUGGAGCUAGAUUGCUGGAAGGGUAAGUGGAAUGCCUAGUGUAGCGGUGAAAUGCGUAGAUAUUAGGAGGGACACCAGUGGCGAAGGCGGGUUACUGGACAGUAACUGACGUUGAGGCUCGAAAGCGUGGGGAGCAAACAGGAUUAGAUACCCGGGUAGUC
RNAcentral lists this ribosomal RNA (441 nucleotides) under uncultured bacterium. RNAcentral's name for it is "partial 16S ribosomal RNA". It matches the Rfam family "Bacterial small subunit ribosomal RNA", at positions 338 to 795 of the family's 1533-position model. The record is from RNAcentral.